RNAcentral lists this ribosomal RNA (253 nucleotides) under uncultured bacterium. RNAcentral describes it as "partial 16S ribosomal RNA". It matches the Rfam family "Bacterial small subunit ribosomal RNA", at positions 524 to 776 of the family's 1533-position model. The record is from RNAcentral.
UACGUAGGGGGCUAGCGUUGUCCGGAAUCAUUGGGCGUAAAGGGUGCGUAGGCGGGUUAUUAAGUCAGAGGUGAAAUCCUGGAGCUCAACUCCAGAACUGCCUUUGAUACUGGCGAUCUUGAGUCCGGGAGAGGUGAGUGGAACUCCGAGUGUAGAGGUGAAAUUCGUAGAUAUUCGGAAGAACACCAGUGGCGAAGGCGGCUCACUGGCCCGGUACUGACGCUGAGGUGCGAAAGCGUGGGGAGCAAACAGG